UUGACACUCGUUUGGAAUGGCUCUCGAUAACUCGCUCACUCUAUAAGAUUACGUUGAUUGGAAAAGAGAGAGAGGUGCUCGCUCGGCAUUGAAGCAAACUGCCACAAAGAAGGAAGUUUCUGUCGACGAACCCUCUCAAGGUUUCAUUUUUGGCGGUCACUCGUCGAACACUCACGGCAACUCACUCAACAGAUGCAGUUUUCGAGCCGAAGCACAUUUUGCCAGUGUAUUGGUGAGAGGCAGCCGAACGCGGUGCUCACGUUCUCCUUUGGUUCGUUCUGGUGAGUGACCCGAGCGCGGAGUUGAUUUGCCUUGGCGAUAUGCCACGGAACCACGCGCGCCUAGUGAGUAGAUACUCGAGAACGGAAUAAUGUAAGCAAGUAGCGAACGUGAGCGCACGCGUGCGCGCUUUUUAUUAUCUGAUACAUUAUUAUUCGCCUUCACCGUCGUCAUCGCCGUCGCAGCCGAUUGCUUUAGCCAGCAAUCUUGGGAAAAUUGUUGCCGUGCCGCUCAUCACUAGAGCUCGAGCACGACGCCUUGCCACAGCAUCCUUGACGUCAAAUGCCCACGGGACUGACACUUGUAUCCUACCACCACAGUACAUUCCGUAGUCAACAUUGAAAAUUCCGCACUGACAGCCAUAAGAAUAAUCGCGGGAUGGAAAGAGAUGGGUGCGUUCCAUGGUGACAGUUUCAUAAACGGCAAGCAGAAGAAAAGAGACGACAUGUAUACUACGAAAACAUCAGUCCCGUGCAAAUGCCCGGUUGAGCAGUUGAAAAUACCUGAUUCCAAAUCCUAAGCCCCUUCCAUCGUUAAAUAAAAUGUAAACCUAACCUCGAGUCA
Long non-coding RNA from Armigeres subalbatus, 843 nucleotides. RefSeq lists it as uncharacterized. Lineage: Eukaryota; Metazoa; Arthropoda; Insecta; Diptera; Culicidae. The transcript has 2 exons. The record is from RefSeq and is a predicted model, not a curated record.